Non-coding RNA from Nicotiana tabacum (common tobacco), 595 nucleotides. Lineage: Eukaryota; Viridiplantae; Streptophyta; Magnoliopsida; Solanales; Solanaceae. The record is from RefSeq and is a predicted model, not a curated record.
GGAGGAGGAUAUCGAACCAUGGAAGAGUUGCUGGAAGUGAUAAUACAGGAACAGGAAUCCACAAAAUAUGGUUGGUCUUGCUAAUUGCUGAGUGAUACUAUAAUACCUUGCUUGUGUUAUUUGUCAAAUGGUAUUGAAGAAGAUUUCAUGUAGCCUGUUACUCAGUCCGAUUAUUCUUGCUGCUCUGACGAGCAAUACACUCUUCCGAAGAUGGCGGUGUUCCUCCCCAUGAAAGCUGGUAUAUGGAGGUACUGACUUAUUCAACAGAGAUUGUACCAGAUAUAAAACACGUCCUGCUAGGCCAAUCUCUCUAGCAUUGUUAUUAAAAGUCAUCGCUUCAUCGCUUAAAGCAAGAGCAAUACGGAAUUUGGGAUUACCACUUCACAGGUGAAGCCAUGCAGUUGAUAAAAAUGUGUGCUUCAAAGCAUGAAACGCACUCUAAUCCCAACGAGAAACGACAUGUUCUUUGAAUCUCAACUUUGUGAUCUAGAUUAAUAUCAGCAUUAGUUAUAUUGAAUACUGAAAUAAGUUAUUGCAGUUGCAAUUUGAUCAGUAUAGUACUAAAUCAAUUUAUGUUUGCUACAUUUUUGUCGUG